RNAcentral lists this non-coding RNA (226 nucleotides) under Polaribacter sp. Hel1_33_78. The record is from RNAcentral. Lineage: Bacteria; Pseudomonadati; Bacteroidota; Flavobacteriia; Flavobacteriales; Flavobacteriaceae. RNAcentral also lists the same sequence under 1 other name.
UAUAUUUGCCUCGAUUUUGGUUUUGAUAUAAAAAUCAUUUUAUAUCAAAUUAAAAGGGAAUCUAGUUAAAAUCUAGAACUGUUCCCGCAACUGUAAGUUUAUGCUGAAUAUGAUUCAGUGCCUCAAUUGAGGAUGUUGUUAAUUCUUAUACCACUGACAAUUAUUGUUGGGAAGGUCUAAUAACAUGAAAACAAGUCAGGAGACCUGCCAUUUUCACGAGUUAAAA